Molecule: ribosomal RNA, 329 nt
Filed under: uncultured eukaryote
Lineage: Eukaryota
Description: partial 18S ribosomal RNA
Rfam family: Eukaryotic small subunit ribosomal RNA
Source: RNAcentral
CCCUUAGAUGUUCUGGGCCGCACGCGCGCUACACUGACGAUGGCAACGAGUUUUUCCUUCGCCGAAAGGUGUGGGGAAUCUUUUGAAACAUCGUCGUGCUGGGGAUAGAUCAUUGCAAUUUUUGAUCUUGAACGAGGAAUUCCUAGUAAGCGCGAGUCAUCAGCUCGCGUUGAUUACGUCCCUGCCCUUUGUACACACCGCCCGUCGCUACUACCGAUUGAAUGGUUUAGUGAGGACUCCUGAUUGGCGCCGCCGCGCCGGCAACGGAGCAGCGGACUGCCGAAAAGUUGUUCAAACUUGAUCAUUUAGAGGAAGUAAAAGUCGUAACA